GGCACUACGGUGCUGAAGCAACAAAUGCCCUGCUUCCAGGAAAAGCCUCUAAGCAUCAGGUAACAUCAAAUCGUACCCCAAACCGACACAGGUGGUCAGGUAGAGAAUACCAAGGCGCUUGAGAGAACUCGGGUGAAGGAACUAGGCAAAAUGGUGCCGUAACUUCGGGAGAAGGCACGCUGAUAUGUAGGUGAAGCGACUUGCUCGUGGAGCUGAAAUCAGUCGAAGAUACCAGCUGGCUGCAACUGUUUAUUAAAAACACAGCACUGUGCAAACACGAAAGUGGACGUAUACGGUGUGACGCCUGCCCGGUGC
Molecule: ribosomal RNA, 315 nt
Filed under: Escherichia coli
Lineage: Bacteria; Pseudomonadati; Pseudomonadota; Gammaproteobacteria; Enterobacterales; Enterobacteriaceae
Description: partial 23S ribosomal RNA
Rfam family: Bacterial large subunit ribosomal RNA
Source: RNAcentral